Molecule: ribosomal RNA, 529 nt
Filed under: uncultured bacterium
Lineage: Bacteria
Description: partial 16S ribosomal RNA
Rfam family: Bacterial small subunit ribosomal RNA
Source: RNAcentral
UGGGGAAUAUUGCACAAUGGGCGAAAGCCUGAUGCAGCAACGCCGCGUGAGUGAUGAAGGUCUUCGGAUUGUAAAGCUCUGUCUUUUGGGACGAUAAUGACGGUACCAAAGGAGGAAGCCACGGUUAACUACGUGCCAGCAGCCGCGGUAAUACGUAGGUGGCGAGCGUUGUCCGGAUUUACUGGGCGUAAAGGGUGCGUAGGCGGAUGUUUAAGUGAGAUGUGAAAUACCCGGGCUUAACUUGGGUGCUGCAUUUCAAACUGGAUAUCUAGAGUGCAGGAGAGGAGAAUGGAAUUCCUAGUGUAGCGGUGAAAUGCGUAGAGAUUAGGAGGAACACCAGUGGCGAAGGCGAUUCUCUGGACUGUAACUGACGCUGAGGCACGAAAGCGUGGGUAGCAAACAGGAUUAGAUACCCUGGUAGUCCACGCCGUAAACGAUGAGUACUAGGUGUAGGAGGUAUCGACCCCUUCUGUGCCGCAGUAAACACAUUAAGUACUCCGCCUGGGAAGUACGAUCGCAAGAUUAAAAC